GGCUAAUGCUGGUUGUCACUGGAUUAAUUCGUAAAUCCAGGAUAAAAAGAUGAAAGUAAUAUUGAUGUUAUGUAAGGAAGACUUAAACUUCUAGAACAAGACGGAAUAGAAGUGAGAAUGCAUGUCCUUGAAUUGUUCUUGGUUUCAAAAGAUAAACUUUUUUAACAUCUCAGCACUAAAGAAGGCCUCCUGCUGUAAGUGAAGAACCACUUAUUUCAGACUCAAGAAGGGAGCAGAGAUGUGGCCUCUGGCUGCCCCACUCGGACACCCAUGGCCUGAGUUAGGCCCUCUCAGUGGCUUCCCAGUAAACUACACUAGGCUUUUCUGAUUUUAGUCUAUCCCAAAGCUAAUUCCAUGCCAAAGCCAUAAAAUGUGUGGGGAAAAAAAAAGCCAGUCUGUGACAGGAUGCAAAUCUCACCUAUGAUACUGGAAGACCAGUGCUGGGCUCCACAGUGGAGACAGCAUGACUUUCUGGUCAAAGUCCUAGGACAGGCGACGACAGAACUCCAGAAGACGAGUGGCCAUGUUAAGCCACAAAAUGACCGUGAUGACUUCUGACUGAGAAGAAAAAUGGGGCAGAGAAAGUUAAUAUGUGGGAAUUUCUUGUACAAAGUCUAUACUCAAAAUGAUCUUUUCAGUUUUUAGAAUUCAUAAAAUGAGCUUUUCUAAAAUAAGUAGACAUCUUUUUGUUCAAUAAUGGGAAAAUCUCUUCAUAAAUAUGCUAGAGAAAUGUUUUCUCUCUCUCUCUCUCUGAGAAUUGACUGCUUAUAAUAUCUCCAGAAUCUCUAGUUGUUACCUGUGAAUAUUAGUGGUAUUAAGCUAUUUUGCUUCAUCACCUAGUGUUUUAAGUUUUACUUGGGCUGCUGUAGUCAACAAUUUUUUUUUCAUUGUUUCAAAUAGAAAAUGCAUGUUUAGUUUUCUAAAGCAAGCUUUUUGAGAGUAUCCUUUUUUCUUUUCACAUAAUAAUUGGUUCAAAAUAUUUCAGUGUUCUGUGAGAAUAGAAACUUGGUAAUUUUACAGAUGUUCAUGUAUGUCCUUUGUUUUAAAUUAUAUUAAUAUUUGUCCAAUGUCAACUAGGUGCCAGACAUUGUUGUCAGUGCUUUACAUAUAUUAUCGGACCCUCACAAUAGCCCCAAGGAUAUGCGCUGUUAUUACUUCUAUUUUACGUGCGGGGUAGUCCUGGCACAGAGAGUUGCAGUGACUUGCCCCAGUCACACAGCUUCUAAGGCUGGGCCCAGGCUCCAAUAGCAGGCUUCUGCCUCCACUGCCCACCUCCUCAUACUCUACUCUGAUACCUCUCUGGCCAGAUGGGCUCCAUUUUUCACCUGUUUUGCAGGCUCAUACACAUGUGGAAGCUGUAUUACCUUCUAAAAGCCACUAGCACAUUAUGCAAGACAGGCAUAUGGUAUCAUUCUGCGUCUACGAGGUAUCUGGAGCAGUGGAAUUCAUCCAAGCAAUAAUUAGAAGGAUGGUUACUGGGUUGGUGGGGCAAGGGGAGGGCAGAAUGGGGAGUUAUUGUUUAAUGGGUACAGAGUUUUGGUUUGGAUGAAAGGAGUUCUGGAGCUGGAUGGAGGUGAUGGUUUGCUCAACAAUGCAAAUAUACUUAAUGGCUGAAAAGUGUCCUUAAAAACGGUGAAAAUGGGGGUGUUAAGUGUCUGCCUUCAGCUCAAGUCAUGAUCCUGAGUUGUAGCAUCCAGCCCUGCCUCAGGCUCUCAGCUCAGCAGAGAGUCUGCUCCUCCCUCUGCCC
Long non-coding RNA from Lutra lutra (Eurasian river otter), 1747 nucleotides. RefSeq lists it as uncharacterized. Lineage: Eukaryota; Metazoa; Chordata; Mammalia; Carnivora; Mustelidae. The transcript has 3 exons. The record is from RefSeq and is a predicted model, not a curated record.